GCGAGUAUAUGAUUUGAAUGUCGAAUUUAUUUUCUCACGGAUUUUUUCUAUUAGUUUACGGGAUGCAGAGAGGACAAAUUGUUGUUGUAAAAUUGAUAUUCUUUCGUACUAUUUCUUUAUCUAUCAUUUAUAGUUCUUUUGAUGCGAGUUUGGAAGCUGAGGAGACGAGGGGAGAAAAGAGAGAAAGCUUCAUUUUCGAAAACUUAAAUUAUUUGGUUUCGGACUCACUGUUAUGAGAUUCCAAGAUUUCUAUUUGAAAAGCGAAAGCUUUGAGUUUUUGGGACUGAUUGGUACGCUUCAGUUACGCAUGCAAAUUCUUCAUGUAUGAUUUUCUUCCUUCAAGAGAAAGUUGUUGUUGGUGAUGUUUUAGUCGUUUGAUAAGGGCAUGAUAUAAGAGUAGCAACAAUCAGUGGCGGAAAUAGGCUUAUGAACCCAGCAGCAAAUUCACGAAGGUUUUCAAGAUUGUUAAUAUAGUUGGUUAAUAAGGGAAUUUGGAGUUGAUGAACGAAAUUUUCAAUAGGGACGUUUUCUAUUUGGAUUAGUGAGGAAAUGUGUGAAAUAAAAAUUAGGAUCCCAAAUUUGAAGAUCUGAUGAAAAUGAAAAUCCCAAGUCUCUUGGAGGGAAGAAAAUGGAAGAUGCUUUUAGGUUUGAUUUUGGUUGAUUCAGCAUUGGUUAGGGAUUAUGCAGCCUUUCUACAUCUUUGCAAGGGGUUCAAACUUCAGGCACUUGAUAAAGUCCAUUCUAUUGUUUGGGUAAUGUUUGCACGUAUUUGCUUUUUCUAUCUCAAGAACAUCCACAAUAAAUUACUGAACUUUAUCAAAUUAAUAAAUUCUAGGACCACAGAUGCUAUUAGUGGCUAGUUGGUUACACUAAAUUUGUCUCAUACAAGAUGCCUUAGCCUGUUACAGUGCAAUCCUAACAGUGAAAUCAUUCAGUGUUAUGUCAUGCGCAGCCCCUUUUUGUUCUGCAAAUUGCCUAUCCAUGGCAACAAGCAUCAUAAGUAAUGGCUGCAUUCAAAUCUAUUUUCAAUAAUUUUUCAUUGUAAACUUGGAAUUGGAAAAUAAUUGUGAUUAAAUAAUUUAUCAAAUGUUUAAACAAAGAUAAAAAUGCUGUAGUACUGUAAAAGUUAUAUUGUUGUAUUGCCCGUUACCUUUGAUUUUAUUGCUUAGUGUUAUAUUUUUCUUAUGCAGUUUCCGAUCUAUAAUCAUUUUAUUUAUUUGGUUUCCUAGCUUUUCUCUCCUUCAUGUGAUUGGAUUCUGCUGGUUAGUGGUGUUGGUGAAAUGAUCAAUCUUUUACUGUAACUUUGUCCUUGAUGUAAUUAUCAUAUUUUUGCAGGUUUUUCAUGGUCAGCCAAUGCCCACAACUGUGGCUGCGGCCCCUCAUCCACCCGCAGUGCGCCCCAGGGUCCGGGCUAGAAGAGGACAGGCCACAGAUCCACACAGCAUUGCUGAGCGGUUGCGUAGAGAAAGAAUAGCCGAAAGAAUCAGGGCAUUGCAGGAGUUGGUUCCUAGUGUAAACAAGGUGUGUCCUUUUCUGUUUGAUGUCUUGUUUAUGAAUUUAAAUGAGGCAUGGUUUCAGCUUCCAUAUUGUAGGCAAAAGCAUUCUGCACUUCAUGUUUGCCUCCUAUAAGGUAUAGAUAAACAUUGCCUCCUAAAUUCUCUGUAAUCCUCUAUCUGAAUAAAACACUCCAACUAUUCAGAAAAGCUUAUGAAAUUGAGGCAAUAACAAUUUUGAAACCUGUGGGUAAUGGCAUGUGAGAUUGUAGGCUAAAAGUUGGCGAAUAUAUAAUUUGCUAGCGGCACAAUGGCAUGGUUUGCAGUGUUAAUUACAGUUUAAAUAAUUGUAAUGGCCAGGAAUUGAUCCCAAGAUAUUUAAUUAUGAGUUUCUAUGUGCUGAUAUGUUGUUGCUGCCUAAUGAUAUAAAUGCCUCAACACCUACAAAUUUGUUAUCCUCCUAGGAAACAUCAGUAACCUGCUGAGUUUUGGUCAAAGGCAUAGAGUUGGUGGUAGUUCAAUCAAACUCACACGCCAAUGAACUUCUUAUAGUAGCAAGGUUUACUUUAACUGCUGAAAGUUAACUACUUAAGAACUUUGCUCCUCCCUGUCAUGCAGAAGAAUUUGAUAAAACAAAUGAUUUCACAAAUUAACCAUUUGGAUAACAUUCUUACCUAAAUUAUAAAUAUCACCUUUGUUCAGUGCUACUUUCUGAUAUAGUGUAGCUAAAAAUAGUUAAUUUUUGUAGAAACAGCUAGUGUUCCACAUGAUUGGGCUGCUUUCAUGCUUAUGUUUCUAUUGUUUAUAAUUAUCUACUUGUAUGAAAUGCAUUUAUUAUCAUUUCGAGACCAUGAUUCAAAUUAUAUAGAAAUUUUAUGGGCUUUUAUUGGAUAUUAUUGUACCUUUUCCACAGCUGUUAAGGUAUGAACUAUGAAGGAUUCUCACCAUAAACUUCCUUUGUUGUGCAUUUUGUUUUGUGCUGGCUUCAACCUUAUGCAAGGAUAAAGAGGACUUCUAUACUUUGAUAGAGCAAACUUUGUUCUGUACUUCAGUAUUUUUGCAAAUUACAGCUUAUCUGCAACUUUAUAUGCCUUAAUUUAGAAUGAAACAUAUAUAGAGCCUGAAAUGGACCGAGUGAAAAAAUGUUUAGGAUGUGGUUAUUAAAAGAAGAGGAGGGGGGAAGAAGCCAAAAACAGAUUCCUAGACAGCUGCAAAAUUAAAAUUUCUUAUGUUUGUGGCUUGUAUAAACUUUGGAUGGAGUCUGUUGUCUUAGUUUUAUAUUUAGAGAUUUAGUAAGUUUUGUGGUUAGAAUAUGGCUGAAGGAUGAGUUUUUUUGGUUGAUUAAGAGAAGAAAUUUUUUGAAGUUAUUUAUUAGAAAGUUUCUCUAAACAUAAUGCCCACUUCUUCCCUUCGUCUUUGAUGUGCAUUUUGUCUGUGCAGACGGAUAGAGCUGCCAUGCUUGAUGAAAUUGUGGAUUAUGUGAAGUUCCUAAGGCUCCAAGUAAAGGUUUUAAGCAUGAGUAGAUUGGGCGGAGCUGGUGCGGUUGCACCACUUGUAACGGACAUCCCACUAUCUUCAGUUGAGGAUGACACUGGUGAAGGUGGAAGAAACCAACCCGCCUGGGAGAAGUGGUCAAAUGAUGGUACGGAGCGACAGGUAGCUAAGCUUAUGGAAGAAAAUGUUGGUGCUGCAAUGCAGUUUCUCCAAUCAAAGGCUCUGUGCAUAAUGCCUGUCUCUCUGGCCACAGCAAUUUACCAUGCGCAGCCACCGGAAACCUCAACUAUUUUAAAACCAGAAACAAAUCCCCAGUCAUAGACCUUACUAAGGGGUAAGCAUCCCAUAGACCUAUCUAAAAGUCGCCAAAUGCUUGGGGUCCUGCAUCGUGUUUGUCCCGUUCCAACUCCCACAAAUAGAUGUUCGCUAAUUUUUCAAAUUGCAAUCAAAGUCAGAUGCCAUAGUUCUUUGCUUUUGCCUUUCCUUUCCAGCUUUUUUCCAGACAGGGUUCGAUAUCAAUGCCUAAAAAAAUGCAGGCAGGCCCUUGAUGUUCUGCCAAGUUCAAGUGAAAGAGAAGAAUUGUCAAAGCUCAUUUGAUACGCUCUUCUUUAUGGUAUCAGUGGUGGGGAUAGUGGGAAAUGAUGGAGCACUUUUCUAGUGAUUUUCGGUAGUGGCUGUGGGACCUUGUAAAAAGGGGAAGAGGGUAUAUAUAUAUAAAAAAAAAUUAAAAAAAAAAAUAAAAAAAAAAA
This 3736-nucleotide unclassified non-coding RNA is filed under the name Hevea brasiliensis (rubber tree). Lineage: Eukaryota; Viridiplantae; Streptophyta; Magnoliopsida; Malpighiales; Euphorbiaceae. The record is from RNAcentral.